UAAUAGAGUUUUGCACUGCCUGGAAAAACGAUAUCAGUGCGGAGGUGCAGCUGGAAUCAUUUUCAGUGGGCGCAGAUUUUUUCUACAAACUUAUCGAUGACACGGAAUGGGUUAGCUCAAGGCACCUGGACAUGGCAACCUUUCUUAUCC
Long non-coding RNA from Prunus persica (peach), 150 nucleotides. RefSeq lists it as uncharacterized. The transcript has 3 exons. Lineage: Eukaryota; Viridiplantae; Streptophyta; Magnoliopsida; Rosales; Rosaceae. The record is from RefSeq and is a predicted model, not a curated record.